CCUUGUCAUUCUCGGGUCCGGU
This 22-nucleotide microRNA is filed under the name Blattella germanica (German cockroach). RNAcentral describes it as "Bge-Mir-184_5p* (star (passenger))". The record is from RNAcentral. Lineage: Eukaryota; Metazoa; Arthropoda; Insecta; Blattodea; Blattellidae.